This 253-nucleotide ribosomal RNA is filed under the name uncultured bacterium. RNAcentral's name for it is "partial 16S ribosomal RNA". It matches the Rfam family "Bacterial small subunit ribosomal RNA", at positions 524 to 776 of the family's 1533-position model. The record is from RNAcentral.
UACGAAGGGGGCUAGCGUUGUUCGGAAUUACUGGGCGUAAAGCGUGCGCAGGCGGCUUCUCAAGUCAGGGGUGAAAGCCCAGAGCUCAACUCUGGAAUUGCCUUUGAGACUGAGUGGCUUGAGUACGGGAGAGGUGAGUGGAAUUCCCAGUGUAGAGGUGAAAUUCGUAGAUAUUGGGAAGAACACCGGUGGCGAAGGCGGCUCACUGGCCCGGUACUGACGCUGAGGUGCGAAAGCGUGGGGAGCAAACAGG